AUAUGGAUAUAUGUCUCCAGAAUACGCAGUUGAUGGGAAAUUUUCAGUGAAAUCAGAUGUUUUCAGUCUUGGUGUUCUUCUGCUAGAAAUAGCUUGGUUAUUAUGGAACGAAGGAAAAGCCUUGGAACUAAUCGAUGAUUGUUUAAAAGAAUCGUUUGUGGAAUCCCAAGUGCUAAGAUGUGUUCAUGUGGCACUGUUAUG
Molecule: unclassified non-coding RNA, 201 nt
Filed under: Hevea brasiliensis (rubber tree)
Lineage: Eukaryota; Viridiplantae; Streptophyta; Magnoliopsida; Malpighiales; Euphorbiaceae
Source: RNAcentral